Rhodamnia argentea is the source of this 1523-nucleotide RNA transcript. It is a transcript of the gene named UDP-N-acetylglucosamine transporter UGNT1-like, with no coding region annotated. The record is from RefSeq and is a predicted model, not a curated record. NCBI's taxonomy places the organism in Eukaryota, Viridiplantae, Streptophyta, Magnoliopsida, Myrtales, Myrtaceae. The transcript has 10 exons.
UCUCCUUCUGCUGCUGCUGCUUCUUCUUCUUCUUCUUCCCAAAGACCAUCUGUCUGUCUGUCUCUCUCUCUCUCUCGUACACACACGCAGCGUGAUCAUGGCGAAGGAUCACGAGAUGAUGCCAGUGACCGAUCCUUCCUCGAAGACCUCCUCCCCGUCGGCCAUGAGCAGGAAGGGAGCUUACGCCGCCGGGUCCUACAUGGCCUGCGCAGUUCUCUUGGUAAUGUUCAAUAAAGCGGCCCUUUCUUCGUAUCAUUUCCCUUGUGCAAAUGUGAUCACGCUUUUUCAGUUGGUAUGUUCUUGUUUGUUACUGUAUGCAUUGAGAUGCUGGGACAUCAUUUCUUUCUCUGCUGGAGAAACCCAAAGCAUCCGUUACAACCCUGCAACACUGGUUCCCCAUAAGACAUUGCUUCACACUAUUCCUCUUGCAGUGUCCUAUUUACUGUAUAUGCUGGUCUCCAUGGAGUCCAUACGCGGUGUAAAUGUGCCCAUGUACACUACACUCAGACGGACUACAGUGGCCUUCACAAUGGUUGUGGAGUACUUUCUAACAGGACAGAGAUAUUCACUCCCUGUUGUAGGCAGUGUGGGGAUCAUUAUACUCGGCGCUUUUAUUGCUGGAGCACGAGAUUUGUCAUUUGACUCAUAUGGAUACAUGGUAGUGUUUAUGUCAAACAUCUGUACCGCAGUAUAUCUGGCUUCUAUAGCACGAAUUGGAAAAUCUAGUGGACUUAACAGCUUUGGCCUUAUGUGGUGUAAUGGCAUAAUAUGUGGACCAAUUUUGCUGAUCUGGACUUCAAUCAGUGGUGACCUAGAAACGACAGUGAAGUUCCCAAAUUUGUUUGCUCCUGGCUUUCAGGCUGUCAUGGCACUUUCCUGCACCAUGGCUUUCCUGAUUAAUUACUGUGUAUUUUGGAAUACGAUGCUAAAUUCAGCUCUCACGCAGACAAUUUGUGGUAAUCUAAAGGUUUGAUAUGCACACCAAACCCCUGUAAUACCUCCCCUCUUAUGCUCAGUUGUAGCUAUUCUGAUGUUAAAGAAGUUAUCUAGUAUCUCUUCUUCUGCAUGGGCUUAUGGUUUUUGAGCCAUAUUCUUGGCUGCCAUUAUCUCAAUUUUCUUGUUGAUGCUAUCUGGAAGGUACUUUCUAAUAGUCGGGUCCACAACCAUUCAAAAAAUGUCUUGCCAUGACAUUUUAUCCCUGUUGAUAGUUACUUCACCAGAAUAAUUGUUAUUUGGGUAGCCCUGUUCAUUCUGGAGUUUGAUGUCAUAGACACUUGUUCACCCUUCACUUUCUUCAUCCUUGGAGUGCUUUAGUUUGCUGGAUCUUUUCACAAUUGGACUUGGCUGGCUAAUGUUUGGCGGGCUUCCAUUUGACUUGUUGAAUGUCGUCGGCCAAUCGCUUGGUUUUCUAGGGUCCUGUUUGUAUGCCUAUUGUAAACUUCAAGGGAGAUAAGCUGAUAAGCAGCUUGUGAGAUUUUUGUUUUCUCUGAUGUAACUCUAUCAAAUAAUCAACAACCAAAUUU